CAAGAACUUGAAUGUAUUAUCUCCAGUUCUGUAACAGCUCUGAAAUGAUAGUGGUAGUGUUCUUUGUGUACAGAUCCAUUAACUGAGGUGCAAGGAAGUUAAGUGGUAGCUUUCUUCAGUAUCACAGAGCUACAAGUGGUGGGGUUAAAAUUUGACAUAGUCUCACAAAAGCUUCUUUCUCAAUUUGAAUCUGUAUUUGUAUGGGAAAUAUACCAUA
This 217-nucleotide long non-coding RNA is filed under the name Homo sapiens (human). RNAcentral's name for it is "non-protein coding lnc-ZDHHC14-5:1". The record is from RNAcentral. Lineage: Eukaryota; Metazoa; Chordata; Mammalia; Primates; Hominidae.